AAUAUUUUAGUUGGAUAACUGAGGUAAUUCUUGAGCUAAUACACGCUAUUUAUACCACAUUAGUGGUGCGUUUAUUUGAUUAAACCAUUUUUAUAUUGGUUGACUCAAAAUAUCCUCGCUGAUUUUGUUACUAAAACAUACCGUAUGUGUAUCUGGUUUAUCAACUUUCGAUGGUAGGGUAUUGGCCUACCAUGGUUGUGACGGAUAACGGAGAAUUAGGGUUCGACUCCGGAGAGGGAGCCUGAGAAACGGCUACCACAUCCAAGGAAGGCAGCAGGCGCGAAAAUUACCCAAUUUUAGUUAAAAGAGGUAGUGACGAAAAAUGACAACCAAAUAUUAUUAUUAAUAUUUGGAUUGAAAAUCUUCAAGUUUAAAUAACUUGUUGGUAAAGGAAAGGGCAAGUCUGGUGCCA
This 412-nucleotide ribosomal RNA is filed under the name Strongyloides stercoralis. RNAcentral describes it as "SSU rRNA". It matches the Rfam family "Eukaryotic small subunit ribosomal RNA", at positions 129 to 569 of the family's 1831-position model. The record is from RNAcentral. Lineage: Eukaryota; Metazoa; Nematoda; Chromadorea; Rhabditida; Strongyloididae.